Molecule: ribosomal RNA, 520 nt
Filed under: uncultured Glomus
Lineage: Eukaryota; Fungi; Glomeromycota; Glomeromycetes; Glomerales; Glomeraceae
Description: SSU rRNA
Rfam family: Eukaryotic small subunit ribosomal RNA
Source: RNAcentral
AGCAGCCGCGGUAAUUCCAGCUCCAAUAGCGUAUAUUAAAGUUGUUGCAGUUAAAAGCUCGUAGUUGAAUUUCGGGAUCAAUACGUCGGUCGUGCCUUCGGUACGUACUGGGGUCGUCGAUUUCUCCCUUCUGAUGAAUCACGAUGUCAUUAAUUUGGUGUUGUGGGGAGUCAGGACUGUUACUUUGAAAAAUUAGAGUGUUUAAAGCAGGCAAACGCUUGGAUACAUUAGCAUGGAAUAAUGAAAUAGGACGUUCGAACCUAUUUUGUUGGUUUCUAGGAUCAACGUAAUGAUUAAUAGGGAUAGUUGGGGGCAUUAGUAUUCAAUUGUCAGAGGUGAAAUUCUUGGAUUUAUUGAAGACUAACUACUGCGAAAGCAUUUGCCAAGGAUGUUUUCAUUAAUCAAGAACGAAAGUUAGGGGAUCGAAGACGAUCAGAUACCGUCGUAGUCUUAACCAUAAACUAUGCCGACUAGGGAUCGGAUGAAGUUAAUUUUUAAUGACUCAUUCGGCGCCUUACGG